GACGAACCGUGCAAACGUUGUUCGGAAUCACUGGGCUUAAAGGGCGCGUAGGCGGGGCUGCAAGUCAGGGGUGAAAGCCCACGGCUCAACCGUGGAAGUGCCUUUGAUACUGUGGCUCUUGAGGGAGGUAGGGGCGUGCGGAACUUCCGGUGGAGCGGUGAAAUGCGUAGAUAUCGGAAGGAACACCGGUGGCGAAAGCGGCGCGCUGGACCUCUUCUGACGCUGAGGCGCGAAAGCCAGGGGAGCAAACGGG
Molecule: ribosomal RNA, 253 nt
Filed under: uncultured bacterium
Lineage: Bacteria
Description: partial 16S ribosomal RNA
Rfam family: Bacterial small subunit ribosomal RNA
Source: RNAcentral